GCAAGCGGUUGCGUAGCGGUAGUACGGGUACGGGGAUCAGGGUUCGAUUCCGGAGAGGGAGCCUGAGAAACGGCUACCACAUCCAAGGAAGGCAGCAGGCGCGCAAAUUACCCAAUCCAGACAUUGGGAGGUAGUGACGAGAAAUACUGGGGGCGCUCCAAGCGAGUGCCAUCCGGAAUGAACGUAACAUAAAAGAUUCGAUGAGGACCUACUGGAGGGCAAGUCUGGUGCCAGCAGCCGCGGUAAUUCCAGCUCCAGUAGUGUAUAUCAACAUUGUUGUGCCUUCAAAACGGCUCUCUGAUGAAGUUAGGAUAUACAAGAGCUGCAAACAGGGGCGUGCAAAGUGCAGGUCUUGGUCUUUGACGCGCGCGACCGGUCGCGCCUUUCGAGGCCGGCCUGGGAGGUAUUGAGGGAUGCAGCUCUUUGUCGCGCCUGCGCGCUGGUUGUGGUCUUGAUUGAUUGCGGCUAGCCGCCGGCGGAGUGUGCCUUGAAUAAAGCAUAGUGCUCAAAGCAGGCGUACGCUCCGCGUGUAAUAGCAUGGAACGAAUAAAUGGACCAAAGGGGCGGUGCGAGAGAAUUGCGCUGCUCUGGGUUUGAAUAGUGUUGGUUUUGGACCCGGUCUCAACGGUUAAAAGGGACAUUUGAGGGCAUUGGUACUUUGUGGCGAGAGGUGAAAUUCUUAGACCCACAAAAAGACCGACUAGUGCGAAAGCAUUUGCCAAGGGUGUUUUCAUUAAUCAAGAACGAAGGUCAGAGGAUCGAAGACGAUCAGAUACCGUCCUAGUUUUGACAGCAAACGAUGCCAGCGUAGGGUCAGGGCAGCCACUAGCGUCGAGCUAGCCGUGCUACCUUGGGCCUUAGGGGAAACCUAGCUUUCGGGCUGCUGGGAGAAUAUCGCUGCAAGGCUGAAAUUUAAAGAAAUUGACGGAGAGGCACCACCAGGAGUGGAGCCUGCGGCUUAAUUUGACUCAACACGGGGAAACUCACCAGGUCCAGACAUUGGUAGGAUUGAAAGACUGGUAAAUCUUUUCAUGAUUCGGUGAAUGGUGGUGCAUGGCCGUUCUUAGUUGGUGGAGUGAUCUUGUCAGGUCUAUUCCGGUAACGACCAAGACCACGGCCUUUAGUUGAAGAGCAGUAAAAGUUGGCGGCGUGGCCUUUGGGCUGUCGUUGCAUAAGACUUUGCUGGCCAACUAGAGGGACAACUGGCGCCGCAAAAGCCAGGGGAGGCGUGGCAAUAACAGGUCUGUGUAUGCCCUUCGAUGUCCUAGGCUGCACACGCGCUUACAUAUGGCAAGCAGCAGAAAGGGUUGCUCUGGGUCGAGAGGCCCGGCCAAACUGGCAACUGCUGUCGUGAUUGGGAUUGAGCCUUGUAAUUAUUGCUCAUGAAAGAGGAAUUCCUCGUAAGCACAAGUCAUCAGCUUGUGUUGAAUACGUCUCUGCCUCUUGUACACACCGCCCGUCGCUACUACCGAUUGAAUUGCUUCUAAAGCUGGCUGGACCGGCGCUGGUGCUGAGUAAUUGGCGCUGUAGUGCUGGGAGGCCGACGAUGAUGCCAUCGCGUUGCCC
This 1566-nucleotide ribosomal RNA is filed under the name Ceratomyxa sp. a AC-2020. RNAcentral describes it as "SSU rRNA". It matches the Rfam family "Eukaryotic small subunit ribosomal RNA", at positions 332 to 1781 of the family's 1831-position model. Lineage: Eukaryota; Metazoa; Cnidaria; Myxozoa; Bivalvulida; Ceratomyxidae. The record is from RNAcentral.